Oncorhynchus keta (chum salmon) is the source of this 1541-nucleotide long non-coding RNA. RefSeq lists it as uncharacterized. The transcript has 4 exons. Lineage: Eukaryota; Metazoa; Chordata; Actinopteri; Salmoniformes; Salmonidae. The record is from RefSeq and is a predicted model, not a curated record.
GGUCAGUAGUAGUAGUACAGGUCAGUAGUACUGGUCAGUAGUAGUAGUACAGGUCAGUAGUACAGGUCAGUAGUAGUAGUACAGGUGCACCGUGAGGCCCAAGCCAUUGUUGAUAGCAGCUGCCUUGUGAAUUCACAUGAAAUUUGUAUUUUUUUCUUAUUUUAAACAGGAUUGAUUUUUUUAUUUUUUUACUUGGAUUUUGAAUGUUUUCCAUUUGUCACUAGAGUCACCUACCAUUUAUAAUUCAAACAGUGGAUACAGACGUCCUCGUUGCUGGGAGGUUCCAUUUUAACCAAGGAUUAUCCUACGAUAGAUCUGUGGUUUGCUUUAGGAAUGGGUGAAACCGACCAGGACAUUUGCAUCAACACCAUCUCGGAAAGCUUUGCUUCCACAGGUUGAUUUCAGGAUUGAUCAGUCCAUGCAUCAACAGUUCUGUACAUUUGAAGUAAUUCAUUUCUCCUUGCCCAUCCCACUUUUUACCAAAAGAUGUUAUGAACAUUUUACUUAAGCUAUUUUAAAUAUCUUCAUUUCCAUCUACAUUGGCAGCCAUUUUGAAUUCCGCUUCCUAAUUUAAGUUUGCAAUGAGUACCCCUUCUAGGAUGUAUUUCAAAUCAUCUGAAGAAUGUUUAACAAAUGUCAUGCUUUUAUCUGUUGCAUAACAUUUUAUGGUCAAAUACCAGCUGUUAUGGCAGCCAUUUUGAUUUUUUUUUUGCAAUAACUCACUUCCUGGUUAAGUUUGAACAUAUUUUCAUAUCAUCUGAGAAAUGUUGUACGAAAUUUCAUGCUUGUAUCCAACGUUUGCUGGAUCCACCUUGCAGCUAAACAUUAAAGGCAUUGGACAACUGGCCCCAUUAGCUAACUAUUCUAUCAACUUAGCUAUCGUAUGGGAUGCUUAUUAGUCACGUUGACUUUUGUUUACUAGUGAUCACAUGAGUAAACAAAUAACAUCCAGUGUCUAUGUUGCGGCAGGGUAACCUAGUGGUUAGAGUGGAGGGGCGGCAGGGUAGCCUAGUGGUUAGAGUGGAGGGGCGGCAGGUAGCCUAGUGGUUAGAGCGGAGGGGCGGCAGGGUAGCCUAGUGGUUAGAGCGGAGGGGCGGCAGGUAGCCUAGUGGUUAGAGCGGAGGGGCGGCAGGUAGCCUAGUGGUUAGAGCGGAGGGGCGGCAGGUAGCCUAGUGGUUAGAGCGGAGGGGCGGCAGGUAGCCUAGUGGUUAGAGCGGAGGGGCGGCAGGUAGCCUAGUGGUUAGAGCGGAGGGGCGGCAGGUAGCCUAGUGGUUAGAGCGGAGGGGCGGCAGGUAGCCUAGUGGUUAGAGCGGAGGGGCGGCAGGUAGCCUAGUGGUUAGAGCGGAGGGGCGGCAGGUAGCCUAGUGGUUAGAGCGGAGGGGCGGCAGGUAGCCUAGUGGUUAGAGCGGAGGGGCGGCAGGUAGCCUAGUGGUUAGAGCGGAGGGGCGGCAGGUAGCCUAGUGGUUAGAGCGGAGGGGCGGCAGGUAGCCUAGUGGUUAGAGCGGAGGGGCGGCAGGUAGCCUAGUGGUUAGAGCGGAGGG